CAGGGAAUCUUCCGCAAUGGGCGAAAGCCUGACGGAGCAACGCCGCGUGAGUGAUGAAGGUCUUCGGAUCGUAAAACUCUGUUAUUAGGGAAGAACAAAUGUGUAAGUAACUAUGCACGUCUUGACGGUACCUAAUCAGAAAGCCACGGCUAACUACGUGCCAGCAGCCGGGGUAAUACGUAGGUGGCAAGCGUUAUCCGGCAUUAUUGGGCGUAAAGCGCGCGUAGGCGGUUUUUUAAGUCUGAUGUGAAAGCCCACGGCUAAAACGUGAAGGGUCAGUGGAAACUGGAAAACUUGAGUGCAGAAGAGGAAAGUGGAAUUCCAUGUGUAGCGGUGAAAUGCGCAGAGAUAUGGAGGAACACCAGUGGCGAAGGCGGCUUUCUGGUCUGUAACAGACACUGAUGUGCGAAAGCGUGGGGAUCAAACAGG
RNAcentral lists this ribosomal RNA (429 nucleotides) under Actinomycetes bacterium. Its description in RNAcentral is "Actinobacteria bacterium partial 16S ribosomal RNA". It matches the Rfam family "Bacterial small subunit ribosomal RNA", at positions 355 to 776 of the family's 1533-position model. The record is from RNAcentral. Lineage: Bacteria; Bacillati; Actinomycetota; Actinomycetes.